RNAcentral lists this ribosomal RNA (301 nucleotides) under uncultured bacterium. RNAcentral describes it as "partial 16S ribosomal RNA". It matches the Rfam family "Bacterial small subunit ribosomal RNA", at positions 509 to 807 of the family's 1533-position model. The record is from RNAcentral.
CAGUAGCCGCGGGAAUACGAAGGGGGCUAGCGUUGCCCGGAAUCACUGGGCGUAAAGGGCGCGUAGGCGGCCGAUUAAGUCGGGGGUGAAAGCCUGUGGCUCAACCACAGAAUUGCCUUCGAUACUGGUUGGCUUGAGACCGGAAGAGGACAGCGGAACUGCGAGUGUAGAGGUGAAAUUCGUAGAUAUUCGCAAGAACACCAGUGGCGAAGGCGGCUGUCUGGUCCGGUUCUGACGCUGAGGCGCGAAAGCGUGGGGAGCAAACAGGAUUAGAUACCCCUGUAGUCCCUGUCUCUUAUAC